This 750-nucleotide ribosomal RNA is filed under the name Streptomyces sp. SID8016. RNAcentral's name for it is "partial 23S ribosomal RNA". It matches the Rfam family "Bacterial large subunit ribosomal RNA", at positions 2183 to 2925 of the family's 2925-position model. Lineage: Bacteria; Bacillati; Actinomycetota; Actinomycetes; Kitasatosporales; Streptomycetaceae. The record is from RNAcentral.
GAGUCGUCGUUGAAAUACCACUCUGGUCGUGCUGGAUGUCUAACCUGGGUCCGUGAUCCGGAUCAGGGACAGUGUCUGAUGGGUAGUUUAACUGGGGCGGUUGCCUCCUAAAGAGUAACGGAGGCGCCCAAAGGUUCCCUCAGCCUGGUUGGCAAUCAGGUGUUGAGUGUAAGUGCACAAGGGAGCUUGACUGUGAGACCGACGGGUCGAGCAGGGACGAAAGUCGGGACUAGUGAUCCGGCAGUGGCUUGUGGAAGCGCUGUCGCUCAACGGAUAAAAGGUACCCCGGGGAUAACAGGCUGAUCUUCCCCAAGAGUCCAUAUCGACGGGAUGGUUUGGCACCUCGAUGUCGGCUCGUCGCAUCCUGGGGCUGGAGUCGGUCCCAAGGGUUGGGCUGUUCGCCCAUUAAAGCGGUACGCGAGCUGGGUUUAGAACGUCGUGAGACAGUUCGGUCCCUAUCCGCUGCGCGCGUAGGAAUAUUGAGAAGGGCUGUCCCUAGUACGAGAGGACCGGGACGGACGAACCUCUGGUGUGCCAGUUGUUCUGCCAAGGGCAUGGCUGGUUGGCUACGUUCGGAAAGGAUAACCGCUGAAAGCAUCUAAGCGGGAAGCCUGCUUCGAGAUGAGUAUUCCCACCCCCCUUGAGGGGUUAAGGCUCCCAGUAGACGACUGGGUUGAUAGGCCAGAUGUGGAAGCCCGGUAACGGGUGGAGCUGACUGGUACUAAUAGGCCGAGGGCUUGUCCUCAGUUG